GUGGGGAAUCUUGCGCAAUGGGCGAAAGCCUGACGCAGCCAUGCCGCGUGAAUGAUGAAGGUCUUAGGAUUGUAAAAUUCUUUCACCGGGGACGAUAAUGACGGUACCCGGAGAAGAAGCCCCGGCUAACUUCGUGCCAGCAGCCGCGGUAAUACGAAGGGGGCUAGCGUUGCUCGGAUUUACUGGGCGUAAAGGGCGCGUAGGCGGACAUUUAAGUCAGGGGUGAAAUCCCGGGGCUCAACCUCGGAACUGCCUUUGAUACUGGGUGUCUUGAGUAUGAGAGAGGUGUGUGGAACUCCGAGUGUAGAGGUGAAAUUCGUAGAUAUUCGGAAGAACACCAGUGGCGAAGGCGACACACUGGCUCAUUACUGACGCUGAGGCGCGAAAGCGUGGGGAGCAAACAGGAUUAGAAACCCUGGUAGUCC
Molecule: ribosomal RNA, 425 nt
Filed under: uncultured bacterium
Lineage: Bacteria
Description: partial 16S ribosomal RNA
Rfam family: Bacterial small subunit ribosomal RNA
Source: RNAcentral